CCCACCCAGCUCAGGACCUGGACGAGGCAGUGGGAGGUCAGCCAGGCUCUCGGCCAGACACAAUAGAGUUCCCAGGAGAAGGCUACUCAAUCUUGGACUCUUCUAAUAAAACUCGGGGAAGAGCCCCACAAAGAAACUGUGUGUCCCAGGACUACAAUUUUCUGGACUUGAACAGCACUUUCCGUGACCUGGCCUUGAGUUUCUCUCUAAACUCUACCUACGUGCGUGUAACUCGACUAGAAAGGCAAGCCUAUUUGAUCUCCGCAUUUUUGCUGGAAUAAAUAAAAGGACACAAAAGCAGCAUCUGCGUUUAAAAAGAAAAGAAAAAGUUACCACAUUGAGACUUUGCAGAAUGAAGUUUCAGGGGAUGUCAGCGCACCAAAUACCCCUCCAAGAGCUGUAAACCAUGUCAGGGGCCCCUCCUGCACUUCUGGAAAACCUAAUGAUCCCGUCGUGAGCAAGUGAAUUGAGAGAAAGAAAAAGAAAGAAAAGGAAGGAAGGAAGGAAGGAAGGA
Molecule: long non-coding RNA, 514 nt
Organism: Canis lupus familiaris (dog)
Lineage: Eukaryota; Metazoa; Chordata; Mammalia; Carnivora; Canidae
Exons: 3
Source: RefSeq, a predicted model, not a curated record